This 200-nucleotide ribosomal RNA is filed under the name uncultured eukaryote. RNAcentral describes it as "partial 18S ribosomal RNA". It matches the Rfam family "Eukaryotic small subunit ribosomal RNA", at positions 588 to 794 of the family's 1831-position model. The record is from RNAcentral.
GCUCCAGUAGCGUAUAUUAAUGUUGCUGCAGUUAAAAAGCUCGUAGUUGGAUUUCUAGCCGACUUGCGUGGUCCGCCAAACCUAGUUUGUGUGAGUACCGCUGCGUGUCGUCUAUCCUAUCAGAGGUGGUGAGCUCCGGCUCAUCUCAUCUGGUUCUUUUUACUUUGAAAAAAUUAGAGUGUUUAAAGCAGGCGUUUCGC